Molecule: long non-coding RNA, 2156 nt
Filed under: Homo sapiens (human)
Lineage: Eukaryota; Metazoa; Chordata; Mammalia; Primates; Hominidae
Description: HSALNT0248087
Source: RNAcentral
CUUUCCAGGAUUAAAGUUUGUGAUAUACUUAACUCAGGAUUUAGGCAAACUGAAGGUGAAUUGGAAAGCAACUCAUAAGAAUAAGGAAAGAAGUAUGAAAUAGGUGUAAAGAAACUGUUCGUGUACUUGAUGGUUUGCAAAUAUCAUGGGGAGGCUCCAGAUUGUGUUUUCCAAAGAUGACUAAAACAGUAUCAUCUCCCAUUCCCUAUGCUCUUCUAAGACCUUGCUAUUCAUUUUCCCAUUAAGAGGUAAAGUCCAGUUCACCUCCUUUUGAGUCUGGUUAGGCUUGUGACCAAGAGAAUGCAGCAGAAUUAACGCUGUGUGACUUCUAAAGCUAGGUCACAAAAGGCAAGUCCGCUUCUGCCUUCUAAGCUGGGGCAUUCGCCUUUGGUGUUCUGUGCCGCUGUAUAAAGAGUCUGACCAUCCUAAGACCACCAUGUUGUGAGGAGCCCAAGCCACAUGGAGAGGUCACAUAGAUGUUCCAGUGACAGCCCCAAAUGAGGGUCUGCUGACAACCAGCAUCAGCCACCACACACACAGAUGAUAACAUCUCCAGGACUCUAGUUCCCAGAUGCCUGCAUAUCCCCAGGCUCUGAAUCCUCCAGCGGAGGCCCAGACAUUGUGGAGUACAUGCAACCCAUGCCAGCCCUGUCAUGUCCUGUCUGAAUUCCUCACCCACAGUAGUCAGAGCAUAUAAAAUGGUUGUUCUAUGCCACUACAUUUUGGAGUUGUUGGUUUCCCAGCAGCACAAAAUGGAACAGAGGCUUAAGUUUACUCUUACCCUAGAAUUCCAGGAGAUCCUACUGUAUUCUCUUUUAGUCUUCUGUAGAUUUUGAGGAUUUCUACUAGGUUGUGAGGAUUUCUAUCACUUGCUGUCAAACCACUGAAAUUCAUAUUAAAUUGGUAUUCAAAAUGGGGUUGCAGAGAAAAAGUGUCAGAGUGGAUUGGGACCAGCAAGAAGUUAUUGUCCUGGGAUAGAGAGCUGCAAUGCACGUUUAACGAUAGCAGUAUGUCUUGUUCCUUGGGAAUCAGAUGUCUUACUUCAUCAGAUAGCUAGACUUUAGAGGAAUUCAUCAUUUUAAAUGUCAGAAUAUCAGAUUGAGUUAUCGAUUCCUUAUGGCCUUCAGUAAAGGUCAGAGAAGUGGCAAGCCUCAGCCGACGCUGCUCCAUGGAAGUCACCAGAAGAGAAUAGAGGACAGCCCACUGACGCAGAGAAUCAGAGCACAGCAUCCACUAUUAGUUUGGACAAACUGUGGUGGCCACCAGGGGUGUAUGUGUGUGAGAGAGAGAGAGAUUAUGAACUGAUUGAAAAACUGAAGAUUACCAGCAACUGGAAUGAGGAUAUAUAGGAAGGAGGAGCCAGAAAUGUGAGCAAGCCCUUCAGAAUGUACCUUCUCCACCACCAAGUGAAAAUGAAGAUUCCUCCCCUUGUAAUACUCGGUUGGCUGUGAUGCAACAUUUUGGCAAGACUCCAAAGCAGAUUUGCGAAGAAAUGCACCCUGAAACCCAUGCCAAUACUCCAAUCUAUAAUAUCCUGCUCAUGCUCUGAGGUCAUUAAGGAAAAAAAUCAUGAAAAUAGGUGGAGCCCCAGAAUUUCCUCUAAAAAUCAGAAGACUCACAGGUAUGGCUUAGCCCUGAAAGUAUAGCCAGCCAGGAGAUUCACAAAGAUGUUUCAACACUAUCCUGACAAAUAAAAUUCUCAAAAAUGAAACUGGCACAUGGCUGACCAUAGUUUUACAAGAAUGGUCACACAAGAAAAAUCCCUCAAACUAACAGCCCCCUGAAAUGUUCAAGCAUAAGUAUAAAUGAUGUUGGUAAUGGGUGAUUGUGACUAAGACCUCCCUGUCCCACCUCCACAGAGAGAAUCUCCGAGAUGCUCUGGAAGAACAAUGGCCAAGCAAAAUUCUCCCGGAGGACAGAGUCUGUGGCAGUCUUUCUGGGUGACCAGAGUCAAGAGAACCUUUCGAGCUGUUUACAACUUUCAGCAAUCUGAGUAAAGUAUACUCCUGUAAGCAAAAUUAGCAUAUUGCUUUCUCUCUACCUGACUUCUUCAGGGUUUAGAAACUAUUUUUGAGUAUUCUCAACUUACGGCAAUAUAGUUAUUUGCGUAAGUGCAAUGAAAAUCUGUUUUCUUUUGUAAUAGAAAAUGAGUGGAG